CCCGCCCUCUUCUCAAGGCUGCCUGGGUCAGAGUGGAUGUCGCUGGGAGAAAGGAAAGGUGGGGGAACGAUGGAUAUAGCAUCUGUAAAGACAAGGUACCACGUGAAUAAGCAAGUCUAGUCAUCCCCCCUCUGCUUCCUGGCUCUGCCAAAUAACUGAGCUCAGGAGUAAUGGAAUGGGACCCCGGGCUUGGCAGCUGUUUGUACGGAAAGAGCAUCGUCUAUACCCAAGACAGUGUGAGGGCUGUGCUGCGGGAGGGUCCCGGCCUAGCGAAGGCACCGGAUCCGAGCUUGAAGAUACCAUCAAUAUAAGAAGCACUGUAAACCAUCCAGGGGGAUAAAAGAAAAACUUGCAUGGAUUGUAAAAUGCAUCCUGAUUCCAGAGACAUUAAAAUGUGAAAACGGGGCGCCUGGGUGGCAGAGAGGAGAAAGCAGAGUCAGGGUUCUGGAGUCCAUGGGAAAAGGUUUCAUCAUGAGAUUGCAGCCCGUCAGUUCCAUCUUUGGGCUCCGCUCCUGAUUCUACUUCUCCUGCUCUUUCCAUCUGUAGCGACUUCCUACCCUGAAGUCUUGAGUCUUCAGUUUGUAAAAAACGCAAUAUCCACAAAGCACAAUAUAAGGAAGGUACACGAGGAACAGCAGCUGCUUUGAGUCCCGUGAAUACUGCCUGAAAACCGAGGCGACCCAGAGUCACUGGCAAGCAAGCCGGCAGCACCGUGGACUGUUACUGCGAGGAUCGAUAGAAGAUUCUCCGUGGGGCUCCUGGGUGGCACAGCGGUUAGGCGUCUGCCUUUGGCUCAGGGCGUGAUCCCGGUGUUAUGGGAUCGAGCCCCACAUCAGGCUCCUCUGCUAUGAGCCUGCU
Long non-coding RNA from Ailuropoda melanoleuca (giant panda), 858 nucleotides. RefSeq lists it as uncharacterized. The record is from RefSeq and is a predicted model, not a curated record. The transcript is spliced from 4 exons. NCBI's taxonomy places the organism in Eukaryota, Metazoa, Chordata, Mammalia, Carnivora, Ursidae.